ACUUAAAUUGAAGAGUUUGAUCAUGGCUCAGAUUGAACGCUGGCGGCAGGCCUAACACAUGCAAGUCGAGCGGUAGCACAGAGAGCUUGCUCUCGGGUGACGAGCGGCGGACGGGUGAGUAAUGUCUGGGAAACUGCCUGAUGGAGGGGGAUAACUACUGGAAACGGUAGCUAAUACCGCAUAACGUCGCAAGACCAAAGUGGGGGACCUUCGGGCCUCAUGCCAUCAGAUGUGCCCAGAUGGGAUUAGCUAGUAGGUGGGGUAACGGCUCACCUAGGCGACGAUCCCUAGCUGGUCUGAGAGGAUGACCAGCCACACUGGAACUGAGACACGGUCCAGACUCCUACGGGAGGCAGCAGUGGGGAAUAUUGCACAAUGGGCGCAAGCCUGAUGCAGCCAUGCCGCGUGUGUGAAGAAGGCCUUCGGGUUGUAAAGCACUUUCAGCGGGGAGGAAGGCGAUAAGGUUAAUAACCUUGUCGAUUGACGUUACCCGCAGAAGAAGCACCGGCUAACUCCGUGCCAGCAGCCGCGGUAAUACGGAGGGUGCAAGCGUUAAUCGGAAUUACUGGGCGUAAAGCGCACGCAGGCGGUCUGUCAAGUCGGAUGUGAAAUCCCCGGGCUCAACCUGGGAACUGCAUUCGAAACUGGCAGGCUAGAGUCUUGUAGAGGGGGGUAGAAUUCCAGGUGUAGCGGUGAAAUGCGUAGAGAUCUGGAGGAAUACCGGUGGCGAAGGCGGCCCCCUGGACAAAGACUGACGCUCAGGUGCGAAAGCGUGGGGAGCAAACAGGAUUAGAUACCCUGGUAGUCCACGCCGUAAACGAUGUCGAUUUGGAGGUUGUGCCCUUGAGGCGUGGCUUCCGGAGCUAACGCGUUAAAUCGACCGCCUGGGGAGUACGGCCGCAAGGUUAAAACUCAAAUGAAUUGACGGGGGCCCGCACAAGCGGUGGAGCAUGUG
Molecule: ribosomal RNA, 955 nt
Filed under: Klebsiella pneumoniae
Lineage: Bacteria; Pseudomonadati; Pseudomonadota; Gammaproteobacteria; Enterobacterales; Enterobacteriaceae
Description: bacterial SSU rRNA
Rfam family: Bacterial small subunit ribosomal RNA
Source: RNAcentral